GACGAACGCUGGCGGCGUGCUUAACACAUGCAAGUCGAACGGAAAGGCCCUGCUUGCAGGGUACUCGAGUGGCGAACGGGUGAGUAACACGUGGGUGAUCUGCCCUGCACUUCGGGAUAAGCCUGGGAAACUGGGUCUAAUACCGGAUAUGACCUUCCAUGUAGUGUGGGGGGUGGAAAGAUUUAUCGGUGUGAGAUGAGCCCGCGGCCUAUCAGCUUGUUGGUGGGGUAAUGGCCUACCAAGGCGUCGACGGGUAGCCGGCCUGAGAGGGUGGACGGCCACAUUGGGACUGAGAUACGGCCCAGACUCCUACGGGAGGCAGCAGUGGGGAAUAUUGCACAAUGGGCGGAAGCCUGAUGCAGCGACGCCGCGUGGGGGAUGACGGCCUUCGGGUUGUAAACCUCUUUCGACAGGGACGAAGCUUCGGUGACGGUACCUGGAUAAGAAGCACCGGCUAACUACGUG
RNAcentral lists this ribosomal RNA (465 nucleotides) under uncultured bacterium. Its description in RNAcentral is "partial 16S ribosomal RNA". It matches the Rfam family "Bacterial small subunit ribosomal RNA", at positions 28 to 507 of the family's 1533-position model. The record is from RNAcentral.